This 253-nucleotide ribosomal RNA is filed under the name uncultured bacterium. RNAcentral's name for it is "partial 16S ribosomal RNA". It matches the Rfam family "Bacterial small subunit ribosomal RNA", at positions 524 to 776 of the family's 1533-position model. The record is from RNAcentral.
UACGGAGGGUGCAAGCGUUGCUCGGAAUCAUUGGGCGUAAAGCGCACGUAGGCGGCCUGUUAAGUCGGGUGUGAAAGCCCUCGGCUCAACCGAGGAAGUGCAUUCGAAACUGGCAGGCUUGAGUAUGGAAGAGGGUCGCGGAAUUCCCGGUGUAGAGGUGAAAUUCGUAGAUAUCGGGAGGAACACCAGUGGCGAAGGCGGCGACCUGGGCCAAUACUGACGCUGAGGUGCGAAAGCGUGGGGAGCAAACAGG